RNAcentral lists this ribosomal RNA (524 nucleotides) under uncultured bacterium. RNAcentral describes it as "partial 16S ribosomal RNA". It matches the Rfam family "Bacterial small subunit ribosomal RNA", at positions 29 to 523 of the family's 1533-position model. The record is from RNAcentral.
AACGAACGCUGGCGGCGUGCCUAAUACUUGCAAGUCGAGCGCAGGAAGCCGUCUGAACCCUUUGGGGGGACGACGGCGGAAUGAGCGGCGGACGGGUGAGUAACACGUAAAGAACCUGCCCAUAGGUCUGGGAUAACCACGAGAAAUCGGGGCUAAUCCCGGAUGUGUCAUCGGACCGCAUGGUCCGCUGAUGAAAGGCGCUCCGGCGUCGCCCAUGGAUGGCUUUGCGGUGCAUUAGCUAGUUGGUGGGGUAACGGCCCACCAAGGCGACGAUGCAUAGCCGACCUGAGAGGGUGAUCGGCCACACUGGGACUGAGACACGGCCCAGACUCCUACGGGAGGCAGCAGUAGGGAAUCUUCCACAAUGGACGAAAGUCUGAUGGAGCAACGCCGCGUGAACGAUGAAGGCUUUCGGGUCGUAAAGUUCUGUUGUAAGGGAAGAACAAGUGCCGCAGGCAAUGGCGGCACCUUGACGGUACCUUGCGAGAAAGCCACGGCUAACUACGUGCCAGCAGCCGCCGUAA